CGGGGCGUAGUUCAGUUGGCUAGAACGUCCGGUUUGGGACCGGAAGGUCGUGAGUUCGAGUCUCGCCGCCCCGA
RNAcentral lists this transfer RNA (74 nucleotides) under bacterium. Its description in RNAcentral is "tRNA-Pro". It matches the Rfam family "tRNA". From Rfam's summary of the family: Transfer RNA (tRNA) molecules are approximately 80 nucleotides in length. Their secondary structure includes four short double-helical elements and three loops (D, anti-codon, and T loops). The record is from RNAcentral.